Molecule: ribosomal RNA, 1725 nt
Filed under: Escherichia coli
Lineage: Bacteria; Pseudomonadati; Pseudomonadota; Gammaproteobacteria; Enterobacterales; Enterobacteriaceae
Description: partial 23S ribosomal RNA
Rfam family: Bacterial large subunit ribosomal RNA
Source: RNAcentral
GGGUUGUGAGGUUAAGCGACUAAGCGUACACGGUGGAUGCCCUGGCAGUCAGAGGCGAUGAAGGACGUGCUAAUCUGCGAUAAGCGUCGGUGAGGUGAUAUGAACCGUUAUAACCGGCGAUUUCCGAAUGGGGAAACCCAGUGUGUUUCGACACACUAUCAUUAACUGAAUCCAUAGGUUAAUGAGGCGAACCGGGGGAACUGAAACAUCUAAGUACCCCGAGGAAAAGAAAUCAACCGAGAUUCCCCCAGUAGCGGCGAGCGAACGGGGAGGAGCCCAGAGCCUGAAUCAGUGUGUGUGUUAGUGGAAGCGUCUGGAAAGGCGUGCGAUACAGGGUGACAGCCCCGUACACAAAAAUGCACAUAUUGUGAGCUCGAUGAGUAGGGCGGGACACGUGGUAUCCUGUCUGAAUAUGGGGGGACCAUCCUCCAAGGCUAAAUACUCCUGACUGACCGAUAGUGAACCAGUACCGUGAGGGAAAGGCGAAAAGAACCCCGGCGAGGGGAGUGAAAAAGAACCUGAAACCGUGUACGUACAAGCAGUGGGAGCCUCUUAAUGGGGUGACUGCGUACCUUUUGUAUAAUGGGUCAGCGACUUAUAUUCUGUAGCAAGGUUAACCGAAUAGGGGAGCCGAAGGGAAACCGAGUCUUAACUGGGCGUUAAGUUGCAGGGUAUAGACCCGAAACCCGGUGAUCUAGCCAUGGGCAGGUUGAAGGUUGGGUAACACUAACUGGAGGACCGAACCGACUAAUGUUGAAAAAUUAGCGGAUGACUUGUGGCUGGGGGUGAAAGGCCAAUCAAACCGGGAGAUAGCUGGUUCUCCCCGAAAGCUAUUUAGGUAGCGCCUCGUGAAUUCAUCUCCGGGGGUAGAGCACUGUUUCGGCAAGGGGGUCAUCCCGACUUACCAACCCGAUGCAAACUGCGAAUACCGGAGAAUGUUAUCACGGGAGACACACGGCGGGUGCUAACGUCCGUCGUGAAGAGGGAAACAACCCAGACCGCCAGCUAAGGUCCCAAAGUCAUGGUUAAGUGGGAAACGAUGUGGGAAGGCCCAGACAGCCAGGAUGUUGGCUUAGAAGCAGCCAUCAUUUAAAGAAAGCGUAAUAGCUCACUGGUCGAGUCGGCCUGCGCGGAAGAUGUAACGGGGCUAAACCAUGCACCGAAGCUGCGGCAGCGACACUAUGUGUUGUUGGGUAGGGGAGCGUUCUGUAAGCCUGUGAAGGUGGCCUGUGAGGGUUGCUGGAGGUAUCAGAAGUGCGAAUGCUGACAUAAGUAACGAUAAAGCGGGUGAAAAGCCCGCUCGCCGGAAGACCAAGGGUUCCUGUCCAACGUUAAUCGGGGCAGGGUGAGUCGACCCCUAAGGCGAGGCCGAAAGGCGUAGUCGAUGGGAAACAGGUUAAUAUUCCUGUACUUGGUGUUACUGCGAAGGGGGGACGGAGAAGGCUAUGUUGGCCGGGCGACGGUUGUCCCGGUUUAAGCGUGUAGGCUGGUUUUCCAGGCAAAUCCGGAAAACCAAGGCUGAGGCGUGAUGACGAGGCACUACGGUGCUGAAGCGACAAAUGCCCUGCUUCCAGGAAAAGCCUCUAAGCAUCAGGUAACAUCAAAUCGUACCCAAAACCGACACAGGUGGUCAGGUAGAGAAUACCAAGGCGCUUGAGAGAACUCGGGUGAAGGAACUAGGCAAAAUGGUGCCGUAACUUCGGGAGAAGGCACGCUGAUAUGUAG